Molecule: ribosomal RNA, 426 nt
Filed under: uncultured bacterium
Lineage: Bacteria
Description: SSU rRNA
Rfam family: Bacterial small subunit ribosomal RNA
Source: RNAcentral
CANUGGGGGAAACCCUGNAUGCAGCGACGCCGCGCUGGAGGAAGAAGGUCUUCGGCAUUGUAAACUCCUGGUUGUUGAGGAAGAUAAUGACGGUACUCAACAAGGAAGUGACGGCUAACUACGUGCCAGCAGCCGCGGUAAAACGUAGGUCACAAGCGUUGUCCGGAAUUACUGGGUGUAAAGGGAGCGCAGGCGGGAAGACAAGUUGGAAGUGAAAUCUAUGGGCUCAACCCAUAAACUGCUUUCAAAACUGUUUUUCUUGAGUAGUGCAGAGGUAGGCGGAAUUCCCGGUGUAGCGGUGGAAUGCGUAGAUAUCGGGAGGAACACCAGUGGCGAAGGCGGCCUACUGGGCACCAACUGACGCUGAGGCUCGAAAGUGUGGGUAGCAAACAGGAUUAGAUACCCUGGUAGUCCAAGGGCGAAUUC